This 1827-nucleotide ribosomal RNA is filed under the name Triticum aestivum (bread wheat). Its description in RNAcentral is "partial small subunit ribosomal RNA". The record is from RNAcentral. Lineage: Eukaryota; Viridiplantae; Streptophyta; Magnoliopsida; Poales; Poaceae.
AUGGCCGGUGCGCCGGCCAAGGGGAGUCUACCUACACCUGCUGGAAGUUCUCCAGCGGUUUGCAUGGAUAAAACACCGCCAAAUCGGGCGGCGGAGGAAGACGAGGAGAGGAAGGAGGGGUCAUGCUCGGAGGAUCUACCUGGUAGCGGGGACGCAGAUCUGAUUGGGGCGGAAGAAGAAGAGGAUAGCGAGAGGGAGGAGGAUGAGCAGAACUUUGAUGAAGAUGAGGAAGAUGGUGGGUACGACGGGGCUGAUGAAGAUCUGGAGGACCAAGAGGUGCGCUGGUUGGGGAUAUUUAGGGUUCAUACAACACGCCCUUUCGGGCACUCGGCGCUGCUAAACCAGAUGCGUAAUGCUUGGGCCGCUGUGAAAGGUGUCACUUUCAACAUCAAAGGACCCAACUUGUUCCUGUACAAACUAAAUAAGAUUCCGGUGUGGGCUAGAAUCAAAGGCUUGCCGCCGGGUCUGACAGCAAAGAAGGCCCUAGCAGAGAAGGUUGCAGCCAAGGUAGGAGGGCCACCUUUUACAGUUAUGGUGAAUGAGGGAGUAAUAAACCCUAACAAUUCUUUGAGGGCGAGGGUGUAUCUGGAUGUUAAUGAGCCCCUUGUUCGUUUUGUGCCAAUAACUCUGAGGGAGAGUAAGAGAUAUCCAGUGGCAUACGAAAAACUCCCUGAUUUCUGCUAUCGGUGUGGCCUGAUGGGGCAUUUAGCAGAAGAGUGCGGGGAUGGAGUGCAUGAUCACAGGACAUUUGAAUGGGGCGAUUGGCUUCUUUGGGCUUCGGAGCCAAACCCUGGAGCUCAACCGGAUCGGGAUGGGGGAGGAAGAGGCUCUGCCAGAGGGAGAGCAGGUGGAAGGGAUGGGGGAGUCUCAAGAAAUGGGAGAAGAGGGGCAGCUGCUACCAUCAGAAGGAACCAUGAGGGACUUUUUCUCGGAUCUUCAUCAAUGGUCUUUGAUGAAAUAAAUGAUCCUCCAAUGUUGGAGGCUUUGGCUUGCCGAGAAGCUCUAGCUUUAGCGCAGGAUCUUUAUGCUGACCAUAUCGUUGUUGCGUGUGACAGCAAGACAGUUGUAGAGGAAAUCAAAUUGGGGUCAGAAGGAAGAUACAGCAACAUCAUCAAGGAGAUCCAAGCGCAAUCAAGACCUUUUGGUCGAUGUGACUUCAUCUUUGAAGUUGCCCCCAAAAGGUCACAAGGGCACGGGAGCGUCGGGAGGGGAGGGAAGGUGUACUCUGUCCACGAUCGCAGACCCCAGCCCCUUAAUCCACAGCCGCCGAAACCACCAUCGGCCCUGAACGCGACAACCGCGGUGUUGGCUAUGCUCCGAUCUGCCACCGGAUUCGCGCUCCGGCGCAAGGCGCCGGCCCCUCGUUUCUCCAGCCACGGCGGCCGCAGCAGCCCUGGAUGCAGCUGCACCACCAAGACAUACAAGCUGUUAAGCUGCAGCGCCCAAGAACUUUUUCCCGUUUGCUUCGCGCGUCAUGGGUCCCCCAGGGCUUGUGGUCGCUCUAAAAUAUGGUCUAUGGGGCUCCAUUUAGCCUCUGAAAUAAGCUGCAUUCAACGGAUGUACUCUGGUGAUGGCAUGAAUGAAUCCAAGAGCACGAUGGCUGAUGACAUCAAGAGAACAAUCGCCUCGUUUUGUGAAAAAACUGGCUGGAAAGGGAAGGACCUGUUGUUUGGCUGCAUCGCUGGUGCCUUAAUGUGUACGUACAAGUACAAUGCGACAGGAGCGGGAAUACUAGGAUACAGAUUUGAUGAAGUGAGAAAGGAGCGGGAGGCGAGGAAGCAGAGGGCGGAGGCGGACAAAAACAAUAUUGAUAUUUCAUUCUGCUGA